GGAGGAUCCAAGCGUUAUCCGGAUUUAUUGGGUUUAAAGGGUGCGUAGGCGGCCUGUUAAGUCAGGGGUGAAAGACGGUAGCUCAACUAUCGCAGUGCCCUUGAUACUGAUGGACUUGAAUGGACUAGAGGUAGGCGGAAUGAGACAAGUAGCGGUGAAAUGCAUAGAUAUGUCUCAGAACACCGAUUGCGAAGGCAGCUUACUAUGGUCUUAUUGACGCUGAGGCACGAAAGCGUGGGGAUCAAACAGGAUUAGAUACCCUGGUAGUCCACGCCCUAAACGAUGAACACUCGCUGUUGGCGAUACACAGUCAGCGGCUAAGCGAAAGCGUUAAGUGUUCCACCUGGGGAGUACGCUCGCAAGAGUG
Molecule: ribosomal RNA, 367 nt
Filed under: uncultured bacterium
Lineage: Bacteria
Description: bacterial SSU rRNA
Rfam family: Bacterial small subunit ribosomal RNA
Source: RNAcentral